Molecule: ribosomal RNA, 253 nt
Filed under: uncultured bacterium
Lineage: Bacteria
Description: partial 16S ribosomal RNA
Rfam family: Bacterial small subunit ribosomal RNA
Source: RNAcentral
UACGGAGGAUGCAAGCGUUAUCCGGAAUGAUUGGGCGUAAAGCGUCCGCAGGUGGCGAUGUAAGUCUGCUGUUAAAGAGUGAGGCUCAACCUCAUAAGAGCAGUGGAAACUACAUAGCUAGAGUACGUUCGGGGCAGAGGGAAUUCCUGGUGUAGCGGUGAAAUGCGUAGAUAUCAGGAAGAACACCGGUGGCGAAAGCGCUCUGCUAGGCCGCAACUGACACUGAGGGACGAAAGCUAGGGGAGCGAAUGGG